AUUGAACGCUGGCGGCAGGCCUAACACAUGCAAGUCGAGCGGAUGAAGGGAGCUUGCUCCUGGAUUCAGCGGCGGACGGGUGAGUAAUGCCUAGGAAUCUGCCUGGUAGUGGGGGAUAACGUCCGGAAACGGGCGCUAAUACCGCAUACGUCCUGAGGGAGAAAGUGGGGGAUCUUCGGGCCUCACGCUAUCAGAUGAGCCUAGGUCGGAUUAGCUAGUUGGUGGGGUAAAGGCCUACCAAGGCGACGAUCCGUAACUGGUCUGAGAGGAUGAUCAGUCACACUGGAACUGAGACACGGUCCAGACUCCUACGGGAGGCAGCAGUGGGGAAUAUUGGACAAUGGGCGAAAGCCUGAUCCAGCCAUGCCGCGUGUGUGAAGAAGGUCUUCGGAUUGUAAAGCACUUUAAGUUGGGAGGAGGGGCAGUAAGUUAAUACCUUGCUGUUUUGACGUUACCAACAGAAUAAGCACCGGCUAACUUCGUG
RNAcentral lists this ribosomal RNA (484 nucleotides) under uncultured bacterium. Its description in RNAcentral is "partial 16S ribosomal RNA". It matches the Rfam family "Bacterial small subunit ribosomal RNA", at positions 30 to 507 of the family's 1533-position model. The record is from RNAcentral.